AUUGAACGCUGGCGGCAUGCCUUACACAUGCAAGUCGAACGGCAGCACGGGAGCAAUCCUGGUGGCGAGUGGCGAACGGGUGAGUAAAGUAUCGGAACGUGCCCAGUCGUGGGGGAUAACGUAGCGAAAGUUACGCUAAUACCGCAUGCGAUCUAUGGAUGAAAGCGGGGGAUCGCAAGACCUCGCGCGAUUGGAGCGGCCGAUAUCAGAUUAGGUAGUUGGUGGGGUAAAGGCUCACCAAGCCGACGAUCUGUAGCUGGUCUGAGAGGACGACCAGCCACACUGGGACUGGGACACGGCCCAGACUCCUACGGGAGGCAGCAGUGGGGAAUUUUGGACAAUGGGCGAAAGCCUGAUCCAGCCAUGCCGCGUGCAGGAUGAAGGCCUUCGGGUUGUAAACUGCUUUUGUACGGAACGAAAAGGUUUGGGCUAAUAAGCUGAGCUCAUGACGGUACCGUAAGAAUAAGCACCGGCUAACUACGUGCCAGCCGCCGCCGUAA
Molecule: ribosomal RNA, 500 nt
Filed under: uncultured bacterium
Lineage: Bacteria
Description: partial 16S ribosomal RNA
Rfam family: Bacterial small subunit ribosomal RNA
Source: RNAcentral